CAGCCGUAAACUAUGCGCGUUAGGUGUACUGGUGACCACGAGUCACCGGGGUGCCGAAGGGAAACCGUGAAACGUGCCACCUGGGAAGUACGGCCGCAAGGCUGAAACUUAAAGGAAUUGGCGGGGGAGCACAACAACAGGUGGAGCCUGCGGUUUAAUUGGACUCAACGCCGGACAACUCACCGGGGACGACAGCAAUAUGUAGGCCAGGCUGAAGACCUUGCCUGAAUCGCUGAGAGGAGGUGCAUGGCGUAGACGUCU
Molecule: ribosomal RNA, 261 nt
Filed under: uncultured archaeon
Lineage: Archaea
Description: partial 16S ribosomal RNA
Rfam family: Archaeal small subunit ribosomal RNA
Source: RNAcentral